GGAGAAGUGGCAGAGAGGUCGAAUGCACACCCCUGCUAAGGGUGCAGGUCCAAAUUACGGGCCUCGGGGGUUCGAAUCCCCCCUUCUCCGCCA
Molecule: transfer RNA, 93 nt
Filed under: Sutterella sp.
Lineage: Bacteria; Pseudomonadati; Pseudomonadota; Betaproteobacteria; Burkholderiales; Sutterellaceae
Description: tRNA-Ser
Rfam family: tRNA
About the family: Transfer RNA (tRNA) molecules are approximately 80 nucleotides in length. Their secondary structure includes four short double-helical elements and three loops (D, anti-codon, and T loops).
Source: RNAcentral